RNAcentral lists this ribosomal RNA (245 nucleotides) under uncultured bacterium. Its description in RNAcentral is "partial 16S ribosomal RNA". It matches the Rfam family "Bacterial small subunit ribosomal RNA", at positions 524 to 768 of the family's 1533-position model. The record is from RNAcentral.
UACGUAGGGGGCGAGCGUUGUCCGGAAUUACUGGGCGUAAAGGGCACGUAGGCGGUUCGCUAAGUUGGUUGUGAAAUCCCCGGGCCCAACCUGGGGGGGUCAGCCAAGACUGGCGAGCUUGAGGGAGGCAGAGGGAAGCGGAAUUCCCGGAGUAGUGGUGAAAUGCGUAGAUACCGGGAGGAACACCAGUGGCGAAGGCGGCUUCCUGGGCUUUUCCUGACGCUGAGGUGCGAAGGCGUGGGGAG